RNAcentral lists this ribosomal RNA (460 nucleotides) under uncultured bacterium. Its description in RNAcentral is "partial 16S ribosomal RNA". It matches the Rfam family "Bacterial small subunit ribosomal RNA", at positions 338 to 795 of the family's 1533-position model. The record is from RNAcentral.
CCUACGGGUGGCAGCAGUGAGGAAUAUUGGUCAAUGGACGAGAGUCUGAACCAGCCAAGUAGCGUGAAGGAUGACUGCCCUAUGGGUUGUAAACUUCUUUUAUAAAGGAAUAAAACGAGGCACGUGUGCCUUUUUGCAUGUACUUUAUGAAUAAGGAUCGGCUAACUCCGUGCCAGCAGCCGCGGUAAUACGGAGGAUACGAGCGUUAUCCGGAUUUAUUGGGUUUAAAGGGAGCGUAGAUGGGUUGUUAAGUCAGUUGUGAAAGUUUGCGGCUCAACCGUAAAAUUGCAAUUGAUACUGGCAGUCGUGAGUACAGUUGAGGUAGGCGGAAUGCGUGGUGUAGCGGUGAAAUGCUUAGAUAUCACGAAGAACCCCGAUUGCGAAGGCAGCUUACUAAACUGUGACUGACAUUGAUGCUCGAAAGUGUGGGUAUCAAACAGGAUUAGAUACCCUAGUAGUC